GGGGGCGUAGCUCAGUUGGUUAGAGCGCUGGCCUGUCACGCCAGAGGUCGCGGGUUCGAGUCCCGUCGCUCCCGCCA
This 77-nucleotide transfer RNA is filed under the name Magnetospira thiophila. RNAcentral's name for it is "tRNA-Asp". It matches the Rfam family "tRNA". Rfam says of the family: Transfer RNA (tRNA) molecules are approximately 80 nucleotides in length. Their secondary structure includes four short double-helical elements and three loops (D, anti-codon, and T loops). Further hydrogen bonds mediate the characteristic L-shaped molecular structure. tRNAs have two regions of fundamental functional importance: the anti-codon, which is responsible for specific mRNA codon recognition, and the 3' end, to which the tRNAs corresponding amino acid is attached (by aminoacyl-tRNA synthetases). tRNAs cope with the degeneracy of the genetic code in two manners: having more than one tRNA (with a specific anti-codon) for a particular amino acid; and 'wobble' base-pairing, i.e. permitting non-standard base-pairing at the 3rd anti-codon position. The record is from RNAcentral. RNAcentral also lists the same sequence under 5 other names. Lineage: Bacteria; Pseudomonadati; Pseudomonadota; Alphaproteobacteria; Rhodospirillales; Thalassospiraceae.